AUUGUUCUAAUCAAGAAUUCCCCAACGAGAUUUCAUGCGUUGAAAAUGCUGUAAAAUAAUUUCAUUAUCAAUACAAUCAAAUACAUCUUUUUCAAUGUACACAACCAGAUUAUCAUUCAACCAUUCAUCUUCCAUUCAACUUCGUAGUCGAUUCUUCACAUAAUUCAUAGCUGAAAAAACUCUUUCAACAGUGGUAGUGGCAACUGGUAAAACUAAUGCUAAUGUGACUAAUAAAUAGACCAAUGAAAACACCUUGUGCUUAUUAGUCUCAACCAUUUUUUGUGCAAGAUCACAAAUCAUGUUUAAUCCUGAAAACUCAACACUAGACUGCAUAUCCAUUAUGUAAACAUCAAGUUAAGUAUCUAGUGCCAUGAGAUCAAUUGGAGAAAAAUCUUUUAGAUAAAAUUGAGCAAGGCGCAAUAACGUUUCUUUAUUGAAAGCUGCAAAUAAAUCUUUUGGACAUAAACAAGCCAAGCACAUAAGUAAUUUAGUGUUUACCUCAUUAAAACGACUGUUUAACUCUUGAAGUUGCAUAUCCAAAAUAGUACAAAAUAGGUCAAUGCGAUAAUGAUGCAUAUUUGUGAUCUCUUGUGCUCUAUGCCUUGAUCUUCCAGGGGUUAGAAACAUAUUUUCCAUGACAGGAACAAUAAUAAAAUGCUUCUCACAAAAUGAAGAAACUUGACUAAGCAAAGAAUUUCAUCCAUGUUCCCUCAUCCUUUGUAGACCUAGUUUGUAAAUACUAACUAAUUUCAUGGAAUUCACAAAAUCUUGAUCUUUCCUUUGUAAUGCUUGUGACAAAUCACUUGCAAAACCAAGAAUAUUUUUCAUCAAGUAUAAAGUAAACACAAAAUCAAAUGUUUGCAUGAACUUCAAAUUUAAGCUAUAUAAUAAAAUUAGCAAUUUUAAAAUAGAAAAAAUAAUGAAAUAAAAAAUUAGAAUUAAAAAACAUCACGCGCAUGGUGACGAUCAGGGAGCACUGCAAAUCGCCUAAUCUGCUAUGGAGUCCACCCACCACACUUUAUUUCAUGGAACUAUGGAAGAGACGAGAGAAAGCGGAAAGCUAAGAUUUUACUUAUUUUAAUUAAUUUUUUAAUGAAUUUCAUUUGAUAAAGGUUCUCUCAUUUGUCUUUAUUGAUUUUUAUGAUAUUAUAAUAGUUAAUCAAAUUAUUUAGAAUUAGACAUUUAAGUUAGGGGCAACGUGAAAUAUUUUUAAAAUUAUGUGGGCACUUUCAGAGUUUUAAAAUUUAUGUGGGGCAUUUUGAUAAAUAAUAAAUAAAAUAUAUUUUUUUAAGAAAACCAUCAAAAAAAAUUUUGAAAGCCAGCUGGGGCAUGUGCCCC
RNAcentral lists this long non-coding RNA (1338 nucleotides) under Citrus sinensis (sweet orange). RNAcentral describes it as "long non-coding RNA (CSIN_LNC002925)". Lineage: Eukaryota; Viridiplantae; Streptophyta; Magnoliopsida; Sapindales; Rutaceae. The record is from RNAcentral.